CCUGCAGUCGAGCGAGGCCACCCGCAAGGGUGAGUCGAGCGGCGAACGGGUGAGUAACGCGUGGAUUAUCUGCCCUGAGGUGGGGGAUAACCCGGGGAAACUCGGGCUAAUACCGCAUAUGACCGUGAGGUCAAAGGGGGGUCGCAAGAUCUCUCGCCAUAGGAGGAGUCCGCGUCCGAUUAGCUAGUUGGUAGGGUAAUGGCCUACCAAGGCCACGAUCGGUAGCCGGCCUGAGAGGGUGAUCGGCCACACUGGAACUGAGACACGGUCCAGACUCCUACGGGAGGCAGCAGUGGGGAAUUUUGCGCAAUGGGCUAACGCCUGACGCAGCAACGCCGCGUGGAGGAUGAAGGUCUUUGGAUUGUAAACUCCUGUCAGCAGGGAAAAAGCGACCUGACCUAAUACGUCAGGGAGUUGAUUGUACCUGCAGAGGAAGCCCCGGCUAACUCUGUGCCAGCAGCCGCGGUAAUACAGAGGGGGCAAGCGUUAUUCGGAAUUAUUGGGCGUAAAGGGCGCGUAGGCGGCCUGGCAAGUGGAAGGUGAAAUCCCUCGGCUUAACCGAGGAACUGCCCUCCAAACUGCUUGGCUUGAGACCGGGAGAGGUGAGUGGAAUUCCCAGUGUAGCGGUGAAAUGCGUAGAUAUUGGGAGGAACACCAGUGGCGAAGGCGGCUCACUGGACCGGUACUGACGCUGAGGCGCGAAAGCGUGGGGAGCAAACGGGAUUAGAUACCCCGGUAGUCCACGCCGUAAACGAUGAGUGCUUGGUGUAGCGGGUAUCGACCCCUGCUGUGCCGAAGUCAACACAUUAAGCACUCCGCCUGGGGAGUACGGUCGCAAGGCUGAAACUCA
Molecule: ribosomal RNA, 850 nt
Filed under: uncultured bacterium
Lineage: Bacteria
Description: bacterial SSU rRNA
Rfam family: Bacterial small subunit ribosomal RNA
Source: RNAcentral